GAUGAAGAACGUAGCGAAAUGCGAUAAGUAGUGUGAAUUGCAGAAUUCAGUGAAUCAUCGAAUCUUUGAACGCACAUUGCGCCCUUUGGUAUUCCAAAGGGCAUGCCUGUUCGAGCGUCAUUUGUACCCUCAAGCUUUGCUUGGUGUUGGGCGUCUUGUCUCUAGCUUUGCUGGAGACUCGCCUUAAAGUAAUUGGCAGCCGGCCUACUGGUUUCGGAGCGCAGCACAAGUCGCACUCUCUAUCAGCAAAGGUCUAGCAUCCAUUAAGCCUUUUUUUCAACUUUUGAUCUCGGAUCAGGUAGGGAUACCCGCUGAACUUAAGCAUAUCAAUAGCGGAGGA
This 340-nucleotide unclassified non-coding RNA is filed under the name soil metagenome. RNAcentral describes it as "partial contains 5.8S ribosomal RNA, internal transcribed spacer 2, and large subunit ribosomal RNA". The stretch from base 1 to 120 matches the Rfam family "5.8S ribosomal RNA", at positions 35 to 154 of the family's 154-position model. The record is from RNAcentral.